GUUUGCUGGCCAUUUCUGCUUAAAGCAACGAUGACAAGAGCCAUAUCACAAUGUUUAUAAUGCAGUAGAUCUAGUAUUUGAAACGUCCUCUCUGGAGCAUGCUUGAAGAGGACACUUGACUCUGGAACUUGCUAUAUGUGGUCCCAAUUGUUUCCUGUUUCACGGCCAUUUUCAGCUGACCAAACAUAACUGAGGGUUAUUGUGACCAGCAGCAGUGUGACAAGGAGAAAUUUCAAAAAGAAAAUGAGACAUUUUUGAGAAGAAAAUGUGAGCUGAUGGAAACCUGAAUAAAAGGCAACCAUAAGUUUUUCCCCGGAAGAAACCAGAGGAGAGAAUAGGAACUGAAGACCUAACUCUACACUCUUGUCAACUCUAAAUGAAUUUUUGUAAACCACAUUUAUGUUUAUCUUGCCCUCUGGAAGCAGACAGAAAGAUACACUUAGGUUUCAGUGAUAACUGCCUGAAGUAAGGAAACAGACAGUAUGAUAACAUUCUUUUCAUAUCUCAAUGACCUUGAAUAAAAUGAUAGAGUACGUAAAUAUAAUGUAAAUUUAUUCCAGUGUCUGACAUCUACUAACUCAAGUUUACUGGAGGAACAAGGAGUUAUGUAAAAGAAUACCCUCUGCUAUCACAAGGUGACAAAAAGAAAUAUGUUGAAGGAAACACACCUGAGGAAUUCUGGUGUCAAAUACCAAAUGAAAAUGUCAAGCCACAGAGUUGGAAGCUAACAAAAAGAACAUGGAUAUUGUAAUAUUUCAACAGAAAUGUAAACAGCUUACACUGUUCGCAUAUGAUUUCAAACGCAUGCCAGAGAUCUUUUCCUGUGGGAAGGAAUAUCUGCUUAUUUUUGCAAGUGAGUACUUGUUUUAGUAAGCACAAGCUCUGUCAGAAAGGAACUUUGCACCAAAAUAGUACUAAAUCUGUAUUAUAACAGACUAGUAGACUUGUCUUGCCCAAUUAAAUAAACAACAAAAAAAAUUUGGAUACACUUGAGAGGGAAGUCAUGGUCAUUUUCAGUGAGAGAGGACAUGGGACUAAAACCCCUGGAAGCACUGGAAAUGACAAGAAAAAAAGAAGCCACAUAAAAAGAAGAUACAAUGUUCACUGCAUAUACUUUUUAAACUCAGUUUUGAAUUGUGAAGGAUUGUUUCAUAAACCCACGAUAAAACCAGAAGCCGAGUUACUUUAGCAUAGUAAUUAUGUAAUAGGAAACUUACUCAAUAUUGUUUCUGUUUUUUCUUCUCUUUAAAGAUGUGAAGUCUUUUCCUGACUUAAGGGAAGGGAAGUGGGAGUGUAGAGAAUUCCAGAUGUGCUACCUGCUGUGGACAGAAAAUGUUCUUCCAUGCCAUUAACCUUAUUCUUUUAAUUGUCAUUAUUUUUUCCCUCACUUUCUAGGAGUCGUUAAACUGAUGCCGAGAGUAAUUUUCCAAUCUCUUUACAGGUGACCUGCGGUUAUGUUAGAAAAUAUAUUCAAUUAUCAUCUUUUAUAUGAAUUGUACAGGGCACUAAAUGAAUUUGAAUGCUAACACAAAAAACAUGAUGCUGCAGGAAUAGACAAGCCCCAGCCUAAAUGAAGUCAAGUGUCACAUGUGAAUAUUGAUACUGUUUCUGAAAGAGCUUGUUCAACCUAAAAUUAUCAGACAAUACAAACAAUGGUAGUCUGCAUUAUUAAAGGCAUGAGAGAAAAUGGAAGAAAAUAGUUGGAGAUAUUGUAGCGUUUACAGAGAAAAAUGAAGAGAUUAAUGUGACAUUAAUGUGAAAUACUGAUGUUACAUCUUUGUGUUUACUAUGCAUGCAGUGUGCAUUUCUCUACUACAGGUUUUGCCGUUCUGUUUGUUGCUAUGGGCAUCAUAGUAUAUUGAACAGAAUAUGAGGAUGAAAGUUUGAUACCCUUGAGUGAUAUUAGAAUAAUUGAGAGAGGAAAAAAUGUAUGGCAUGGGCAUUUCUGAGGCCUUUUCUGAGUUAAAUUGUUCUUUAAGCAGAUUUAGAAACAAAAAUAUUAGAAGAAAUAUAGACUGAAAGUGUAUAUCAGAUGAAUUCCUCCAAUCCAGGAAAUAUAUUUUCUUUAGAAAAAUUCUUCUAUCCUGCAAAAAUAUCUAGCUGUGCAAAUAGAUUUAUGAUAUAUGCAUCUAUUUCAUUUGCCUCUUCCUCAAUAUAACGAAUUGCUAUACUUAUCAUCUCUUCAUCUCUCUAUAUAAUGGUUAAAUUAAGAAGUAAAAUAAUUCUGUUAUACCAUCUAUUUUAUGUAAAAUGCAGUGAUUUUGUUUGCUUGUUUGUUUUAAUUCAGGAAAUAGCUUAUUGAUAUUGGUC
This is a non-coding RNA of Struthio camelus australis, 2310 nucleotides long. The record is from RefSeq and is a predicted model, not a curated record. Lineage: Eukaryota; Metazoa; Chordata; Aves; Struthioniformes; Struthionidae.